Long non-coding RNA from Alosa alosa (allis shad), 325 nucleotides. RefSeq lists it as uncharacterized. The transcript is spliced from 2 exons. NCBI's taxonomy places the organism in Eukaryota, Metazoa, Chordata, Actinopteri, Clupeiformes, Clupeidae. The record is from RefSeq and is a predicted model, not a curated record.
AUGUCAAUGUCAACAGCAGAAGGAAAAUUACUCUGCAGGCCCUUCCCAUCUUCCUCUGGGAAGAUGGAUUUUUUUUAAGACCUGAAAUGCAGAAGAAAUUGACCUGCCAGACUUCUCGGAUGCAGCUGUAGCUAUUCCCACUGUUUCGGGUGAUACAGACUCCCUUGUGAAGUUUGGUCCUGCUAUCCAUUCUAUAGUUCUUGACAGAGAUAUUGUUGUGUGUGAUAUAGCAGAGUUGACAGAGACGUUAAUUUUGCUAUUUGGUUUAAUUUAUGCACUUCAUCUCGAUUAUCCAAAGCAAUUGUCCUACACAUUUAAUUUAAUU